AAAUCUCCAUUACAUAGUGGACAUAAGGCUGGCAUAGGGUGAAUCAACACCAAAACUAGGUGGGGUCUGCUACAUAAUUACUCAAGACAGAAAUUGAAGUGUAAAGUAAAGUAUUAGACCACCGCAACACGGUUCCUUUCCCUUUUCAGCAGAAGCAACAAACAGCACUAAUGGCCACAAGCCAAGUCGCAGCAAAUCUGGAAAGCAGGCCACCGAUAUUAUUAGACUUGGCAGGAUUGUUCUUCAGCUCAGAACUAGAACCACCUCUGAAGCUACUAAACUUUCCAUACCCAACAGCAUAACAUGGAGUCUCUAAC
Molecule: long non-coding RNA, 317 nt
Organism: Populus trichocarpa (black cottonwood)
Lineage: Eukaryota; Viridiplantae; Streptophyta; Magnoliopsida; Malpighiales; Salicaceae
Exons: 3
Source: RefSeq, a predicted model, not a curated record